AGUGAACGCUGGCGGUAGGCCUAACACAUGCAAGUCGAACGGCAGCACAGUAAGAGCUUGCUCUUACGGGUGGCGAGUGGCGGACGGGUGAGGAAUACAUCGGAAUCUACUUUUUCGUGGGGGAUAACGUAGGGAAACUUACGCUAAUACCGCAUACGACCUACGUGUGAAAGCAGGGGAUCUUCGGACCUUGCGCGAUUGAAUGAGCCGAUGUCGGAUUAGCUAGUUAGCGGGGUAAAGGCCCACCAAGGCGACGAUCCGUAGCUUGUCUGAGAGGAUGAUCAGCCACACUGGAACUGAGACACGGUCCAGACUCCUACGGGAGGCAGCAGUGGGGAAUAUUGGACAAUGGGCGCAAGCCUGAUCCAGCCAUACCGCGUGGGUGAAGAAGGCCUUCGGGUUGUAAAGCCCUUUUGUUGGGAAAGAAAAGCAGCAGGUUAAUACCCCGCUGUUCUGACGGUACCCAAAGAAUAAGCACCGGCUAACUUCGUG
RNAcentral lists this ribosomal RNA (492 nucleotides) under uncultured bacterium. RNAcentral's name for it is "partial 16S ribosomal RNA". It matches the Rfam family "Bacterial small subunit ribosomal RNA", at positions 29 to 507 of the family's 1533-position model. The record is from RNAcentral.